Molecule: ribosomal RNA, 253 nt
Filed under: uncultured bacterium
Lineage: Bacteria
Description: partial 16S ribosomal RNA
Rfam family: Bacterial small subunit ribosomal RNA
Source: RNAcentral
UACGUAGGGUGCAAGCGUUGUCCGGAUUUACUGGGCGUAAAGCGCACGCAGGCGGUCUCUUCGGUUUGGAGUGACAGUUGGUGGCUUAACUGCCAAAGUGCUUCGAAAACUGAGAGACUUGAGGGCUUCAGAGGGACACGGAAUUCCGGGUGGAGUGGUGAAAUGCGUAGAGAUCCGGAGGAACACCAAAGGCGAAGGCAGUGUCCUGGGGAGUACCUGACGCUCAGGUGCGAAAGCCAGGGGAGCGAACGGG